CGCGAGGUAGAGCAGUUGGUAGCUCGUCGGGCUCAUAACCCGGAGGUCGGAGGUUCGAGUCCUCCCCUCGCAA
Molecule: transfer RNA, 73 nt
Filed under: Bacteroidales bacterium
Lineage: Bacteria; Pseudomonadati; Bacteroidota; Bacteroidia; Bacteroidales
Description: tRNA-Met
Rfam family: tRNA
About the family: Transfer RNA (tRNA) molecules are approximately 80 nucleotides in length. Their secondary structure includes four short double-helical elements and three loops (D, anti-codon, and T loops).
Source: RNAcentral